RNAcentral lists this ribosomal RNA (1262 nucleotides) under Strongyloides fuelleborni. RNAcentral describes it as "SSU rRNA". It matches the Rfam family "Eukaryotic small subunit ribosomal RNA", at positions 138 to 1467 of the family's 1831-position model. Lineage: Eukaryota; Metazoa; Nematoda; Chromadorea; Rhabditida; Strongyloididae. The record is from RNAcentral.
GUUGGAUAACUGACGUAAUUCUUGAGCUAAUACACGCUAUUUAUACCACAUUAGUGGUGCGUUUAUUUGAUUAAACCAUUAUAACGGUUGACUCAAAAUAUCCUUGCUGAUUUUGUUACUAAAACAUACCGUAUGUGUAUCUGGUUUAUCAACUUUCGAUGGUAGGGUAUUGGCCUACCAUGGUUGUGACGGAUAACGGAGAAUUAGGGUUCGACUCCGGAGAGGGAGCCUGAGAAACGGCUACCACAUCCAAGGAAGGCAGCAGGCGCGAAAAUUACCCAAUUUUAGUUCAAAGAGGUAGUGACGAAAAAUGACAACCAAAUAUUAUUAUUAAUAUUUGGAUUGAAAAUCUUCAAGUUUAAAUAACUUGUUGGUAAAGGUUUGGGCAAGUCUGGUGCCAGCAGCCGCGGUAAUACCAGCUUUCCAAGUGCAUAAAAUGAUUGUUGUGGUUAAAAAGCUCGAUGUUGGAUUAUAAAGAUUGUAUAAUGAGCAUCUUGGAUGUUUUAAUUUCAUUAUCAUCUUAUUAUUUUUAUUAUAUUCCUUUAAAAGAAUAUAAUAAACUGUUACUUUGAAUAAAUCAGAGGGUUUAAACCAGGCAUUUAUAUGCUUGUAUGGUCUAGCAUGGAAUAACACUAUAGAAAAAGUUAGUGUGGUUUCACUAAUCUUUUUCAUGAUUAAUAGGAACAAACGGGGGCAUUCGUAUCGCUACGUUAGAGGUGAAAUUCUUGGACCGUAGCGAGACGUCCUACUGCGAAAGCAUUUGCCAAGAAUGUUUUCAUUAAUCAAGAACGAAAGUUAGAGGUUCGAAGGCGAUCAGAUACCGCCCUAGUUCUAACCGUAAACUAUGCCUACUAGGUGUAUGAAUUAUUAGUUAUAAUAAUUUAUGCACCUUCUCCGAAACGAAAGUCUUUCGGUUCCGGGGGAAGUAUGGUUGCAAAGCUGAAACUUAAAGGAAUUGACGGAAGGGCACCACCAGGAGUGGAGCCUGCGGCUUAAUUUGACUCAACACGGGAAAACUCACCCGGGCCGGACACUAUAAGGAUUGACAGAUUGAUAGCUCUUUCAUGAUUUAGUGGUUGGUGGUGCAUGGCCGUUCUUAGUUCGUGGAUAUGAUUUGUCUGGUUGAUUCCGAUAACGAGCGAGACUUUUAUGUUAUAUUAAAUAAUAUUAUUGUUAAAUUUUAUGGUUUUAUAUAAUAUUUUAUUUUAAUAACAGAUUAAUAGUGUUUAACUAUUUGAGAGAGAGCAAUAACAGGUCUGUGA